Molecule: ribosomal RNA, 492 nt
Filed under: uncultured bacterium
Lineage: Bacteria
Description: partial 16S ribosomal RNA
Rfam family: Bacterial small subunit ribosomal RNA
Source: RNAcentral
AGUGAACGCUGGCGGUAGGCCUAACACAUGCAAGUCGAACGGCAGCACAGUAAGAGCUUGCUCUUACGGGUGGCGAGUGGCGGACGGGUGAGGAAUACAUCGGAAUCUACUUUUUCGUGGGGGAUAACGUAGGGAAACUUACGCUCAUACCGCAUACGACCUACGGGUGAAAGCAGGGGAUCUUCGGACCUUGCGCGAUUGAAUGAGCCGAUGUCGGAUUAGCUAGUUGGCGGGGUAAAGGCCCACCAAGGCGACGAUCCGUAGCUGGUCUGAGAGGAUGAUCGGCCACACUGGAACGGAGACACGGUCCAGGCUCCUACGGGAGGCAGCAGUGGGGAAUAUUAGACAAUGGGCGCAAGCCUGAUCCAGCCAUACCGCGUGGGUGAAGAAGGCCUUCGGGUUGUAAAGCCCUUUUGUUGGGAAAGAAAAGCAGCAGGUUGAUACCCCGCUGUUCUGACGGUACCCAAAGAAUAAGCACCGGCUAACUUCGUG